GGUAAGUUAAGAAUGCAUGUGUAGUUUACUUUUUCUUUACACUUUCUGUUAUAUUGUAAUAAUACGUUCUUUUUUACUUUUUAUUGUAUAGAGUCUUGAAUCUUGACAUAGCUUAGGGUAUCAUGCCCUAAUUUGAUGUGUGCAAGAUACAGAAGUGAGUGACAGAAUCUGGGGGAACAAUACUUGGAAGAAACCUGCUUAUUCUGUUCAUGCUACUUCCAACUGAACACACGCACACUGCAAUCAAAUGUCAAAUCUACAAGGAAUUCCAUAAAUGACCAAACCGACCUGGUAAAAAUGUGUUGGCGGUAGCUAGCAGUGCUAUACACAGCACAUGGGCUGGCAUAGAGAUGGUGAUCUAUCAGCUGCUUUACUGUGUGGUAUCUUUCAUGUUUUACAACUAUCACUGCCCAUGCAAUUGACAUAUCAAGAUCAAUUCUCUUUGUGUUUCUGUUCUUGUAAGAUCUUUCAUAAGUAUUUCUUGUUCUCAUUUACAUAAAUAAACAAAGAUUGUGAAAUACACACUUCAA
Zootermopsis nevadensis is the source of this 530-nucleotide non-coding RNA. NCBI's taxonomy places the organism in Eukaryota, Metazoa, Arthropoda, Insecta, Blattodea, Termopsidae. The record is from RefSeq and is a predicted model, not a curated record.